This is a long non-coding RNA of Dunckerocampus dactyliophorus (ringed pipefish), 742 nucleotides long. RefSeq lists it as uncharacterized. NCBI's taxonomy places the organism in Eukaryota, Metazoa, Chordata, Actinopteri, Syngnathiformes, Syngnathidae. The transcript has 4 exons. The record is from RefSeq and is a predicted model, not a curated record.
GCGAGGCCGCCAGAAGACAAGAGAAGGAGGAGGCGGCGGCAAUGGAGACUUCCUGGGUGGAAAUCUCUCAAAAAGGCGUUUGGACUCAUAUGAAGAUAUGGAGCCCUUGGAGGUGGCACCUGGUUUUGGACAUCAGGAGGCGUGUGCGUUUGCUCCAGGGAUUACAUCCGCACAGCAGAGGCCUACCAGACAGCCUGCAUGGCCACCACACGAGGCAAAGACCUGCAAUGUUGAGAAUUAUUGCCCUCAGAGAUAGGAUGAGGAGCUUGGUCAUCCGGGAGGAGCUCUGAGUACCUUCACAUCGAGAAGAGCCAGUUGAGGUGGCUCGGGUAUCUAGUCCGGAUGCCUCCGGGAAACCUCCCUAGUGAGGUGUUCCGGACAUGCCGAGCCAGGAGAAGGCCCCAGGGCAGACCUGGGACAUAGUGGAGGGAUUAUGUCUCACAGCUGGCCUGCGGAAUGCCUCGCUGUCCCCCCGGUGGAACUGGAAGAGGUGGACACCGGAAAGUCUGGACAUCCCUACUGAGACUGCUGCCCAUGCAACCUGGACCGGGCUACAAGUGUCCGUGAAUGCACCUUCCGAGGAGGACUAGAGACGUGUUUGGGGGUGGAGAUACAUACAGUACAUGGUGUUGGAAUUGCUCUGCUGUAAAUGUGUUCAGGUCAGAAUAAAGUUGUAAAGGAGCGUCAGACUCUGUGUGAGUAUGUGGGGACACUACACUACGCUUCCGUCUGCUGUCAUAAC